GUUGAACGCUGGCGGCAGGCCUAACACAUGCAAGUCGAGCGGGGACUUCGGUCCUAGCGGCGAACGGGUGAGUAAUGCUUGGGAAUCUGCCCAGUAGUGGGGGAUAACGUCCCGAAAGGGACGCUAAUACCGCAUACGUCCUACGGGAGAAAGAGGGGGAUCUUCGGACCUCUCGCUAUUGGAUGAGCCCAAGUCGGAUUAGCUAGUUGGUAGGGUAAUGGCCUACCAAGGCGACGAUCCGUAGCUGGUCUGAGAGGAUGAUCCGCCACACUGGAACUGAGACACGGUCCAGACUCCUACGGGAGGCAGCAGUGGGGAAUAUUGGACAAUGGGCGAAAGCCUGAUCCAGCCAUGCCGCGUGUGUGAAGAAGGCCUUCGGGUUGUAAAGCACUUUAAGCGGGGAGGAAGGUUCGCGGCCUAAUACGUCGCGGAAUUGACGUUACCCGCAGAAUAAGCACCGGCUAACUCUGUG
Molecule: ribosomal RNA, 472 nt
Filed under: uncultured bacterium
Lineage: Bacteria
Description: partial 16S ribosomal RNA
Rfam family: Bacterial small subunit ribosomal RNA
Source: RNAcentral